This 107-nucleotide small nuclear RNA is filed under the name Dasypus novemcinctus (nine-banded armadillo). Lineage: Eukaryota; Metazoa; Chordata; Mammalia; Cingulata; Dasypodidae. The record is from RNAcentral.
GUACUCAUUUUGGCAGCACAUAUACUAGAAUUAGAACAGUAUAGAGAAGAUUAGCAUGGCCCCUGUGCAAGGAUGACAGGCAAAUCUGUGAAGUGUUCCAUAUUUUA